RNAcentral lists this transfer RNA (73 nucleotides) under Cordylochernes scorpioides. RNAcentral describes it as "tRNA-Thr". Lineage: Eukaryota; Metazoa; Arthropoda; Arachnida; Pseudoscorpiones; Chernetidae. The record is from RNAcentral.
GUCCAAGGAUGGGAAUUGAACACGCAGUGUUCCGUUUACCGGGCAGAUUCCAUGUCCACUAGGUUACCCUGGA